CAGGGCUUGUGGAAACGGCCUCCACUGGGUUGGCGGACUUGUGAAGGAGCAAAGAUGGCGGAGUAAGAAGCUCCGCUGUGGUCCGGCCUACUUAGGCCCGGCCGGGGUAGGCCGGUGCCCGGGCGAUCCAUUGCUUCUGCUGACUCAUGCGAGGAAGAACAUUGACUUUUAGGUGCUUUUAUAUUCAUCUGGAAAAGAAAAAAUUUUGAACUCAGGAUUUGGCAAGAAUUUCUAUGUUGUCUCCUGGAGUGGAUAGUCCUGCCUCUUCUAUCCAGUCCCUUUCCAUAAUCUUGAAAUGCAAGUAUCUCUUCUCUACACUUUACCUCCAUGAUUGGAAAGGCAGCUUUUCUUUUUUCCCCACGUCAAAAAUUCAACACAGAGAAGCUCCUAGGAUGCAGUCAUUCUGCCAAUUUCUUCAGGAAGAAAGAAGCAACUGACAUGUUUCUUCUGCUAUUUUCUUAAUUGUAAAGAAAUUAUUUUGCAAGCUGAAGAGUGGUGUUAAUUUGAAACAAGUGCUUAGAUAGUGGUAUUUGUGAACUUUUUACCUUUUGUUCCCAGCAAGAAGACUAUCUAAAUAGCAAGUAUCAAGGUUUUUGUUGUUGUUGUUUUUAAAUGUCUUCCAGUUUUAGCACUAUCAUAAGCACAGUUGCAACUACAGGAGUAAAUUACAAAUGUGUUGUAAUUGGAAAUGGAAGAGAUGCUAAAUAUAUAUGUAUCUCCAGGCUCAUCCUGUGACAUAGAUUAACUGGCUAAGAACAGAGGUCCAAUAUUGCAGUUAAAUCUUUGAUGUGAUAAGCAUAACAACAAAAUAUCAAAAAGUUAAUUCCAUGUCUGAAUAAAUCAUCACCAUCUCUGUAUAACUACGUAUUGUAACAUGUAAAUCCACAUUCUUGGAUGAGAAGAGCAAUUUUUUUCUCCUACAGAAGGAAGCUGUCCUGUCUCAGAAGUCUUUGGACAUUUGGUAUUUUAAAAUGCUUUGCUUAUCUGUUCUUCUAAGAAAGGGCCAUAUUGUACAGAUGCUAACCCUAUGAAUGCAUGCUUGGAGUUAGUGAAAGUUUGGUAAAAGGAAACAAAAGUUUUGAGUCCAACAAUGGAACCCUGUUCACCUCCCUAGGAUGAGAAGCUGCUGUUACAAAUUACUUCAUUCUUUUUUGUGGAGUCUUAUAUAGCACGUAAGACUUUUUCCAUGCUGCUAAAGCUGGAAGAUAAAUGGCAUAUGUGGAUUUUCUGUUCAGAAGAUGGGAUGGACCCUACAGUAUAACCUGUCCUCAACUUUGGAGGAAUGGGGCAAAAUGAGAAAACUUGCCAUAUGACUCCCCUCUCCUAAGAAAAGGAAGCAGAAAAUGACUUACAGUUCCACCUGACUUGAUGGCAUUUUACAUCCUGCAGCUGUUUUUGUAAAAGCAUAAAUAACUUUUUCAUGUGAUCCAAGACCAGUAUUUGGAUGUUUGAUUUCUUUUUCUAGAUGACAGCUGUAGAGUUAGGCUGAAAAGGCUAGGACUCAGGUAACUUUCCUCAAUCUCAUCAGAGCAUGGGCCUCAGACGCAGUGUGCCCAAACUAGUGGUUGGUUCAGUUUACAAGAAAUUCAGGUCUGAAAAAAACCUGAAACAAGAAAAAUAGUUCCAAUAAGAAGUAUGGGUCUUACUUUCCCUUAAAACUUACACUGUAGAGGAACAGAAUAUGUAUAGAGCUGUUCUUCUUGCAGAAUCAGCAGAGGACCAGGGUGUGAAUUGUCAGGUCUCUGUAUAAGAAGAAUGAAAUCUUUAUGCAUUUUUGUGAUUGGAGAAAGAAUUUGAAAGAAUUUAAAGCUUCUUAGUUGAAAUUAAGAACAAAUCAUCUUAGAUUAUCUCUGUGAUUUUGGGAAUAUUUGCCUAGGGGCAAACAUGCUGUGAUGUUGAAAACUUGGGGCAGAUUUACCAAAAUUUGAGAGGGAUAGAACUGGCCAAAAAAUGGAGAUGGUGAGCACUCUUGAUUAGUUUAAUUGAUCAGCCAAUUUAAAAUGGCAUAAGAAAGCUUUGUAGUAAAAAUAAAUAGAUAAAAUGUCAUUUUCUCUAAUUGAGGGCUAUUACUGAGUGGUAAAACAUAGAAGUAACUUGGGGUAAAGGUAACAAUUUUUUCUCUUAAGUAACUUCCCAGCCACUUAUGAUAUUUUAGUAUUUUGGAAUCGUUAAGACAACAGAAUUUACAUACAUGGGUCCCACUGAUAUAAUGAGACUAUUACAUAGAAAAGUCAUAUCUUUAGUUGUUUGUUACCUAUCUUCCUCGUGUCCUUUUGACAACUUUUUGGGUAGGAUCAUUUGGCAGGAAAUAAGGACCCUGCACUAUGAGCAUAGUGAAACUAUCUCUGGCCCACUUGUUUGAAUAGGUGUCAGACUCAGCUUCUCCGGUUGCUUUACAUUUUUUCAUUUCAUAGCUAAGAGAACCACUAUUUAAUGUUCUUUCAAGUUGUUUCUGCAUCUUGUUAGCAAAUGGCAUUUAACAAAAUGAGUGUAUUCCACUUAUAUUUGUCCAGCGUUUACUUAUAUAGAAAUUUUUUCCCGGUCUAUUUUGGUCCCCUUCUUAUGACAAAAGUUGUAAUUUUAGGCAGGACUGUGCCUCAAGCUAUAGCUGUGCCUGCUUCCUCUCCUUUGCUCAUCUAUGUUAGCUGGCAGGUUUGGGUUUUUUUGUUUAAGUUAAAAACGGGAUAUGUGCAAUAGAAAUAUAUAUAUGUAUAUUUUAAUACUUGUGGACAAAUGUUACAAGUUGUUUCAGAACAACAAAAUCACCAAUGUCUUCCAUUUUGAGAUGUGUAUAGUUUUGUAAGCAUUAGUGCUUGGUAGAAUAUUGUAGUGCCAUGUUAGGAGUUAGUGCAUGAGCCUAGUAAUAUUUUAAACUUUGGGAUGAAUUAUAAUAACCAAUAGUGUAAAAAGUGGGAAAUUUAGACCUUUUCUUUUUUCAUAAGUUUUUGUACCCAUGAUAUUCUCCCUGGGGAGAGAUUAGGCCAAAAAAAAAAAACCUUGUUUAUAAAUAGUAAUGUGGGAUCGCAGUGUGAAAUACUGUGUUUGAGGAGUUUUAAGCUUUCCGUGAGGUAGCUGCAAACCAGCUGCCUUUGUGUCUUAUGAAACCUCACAUGAAAACGUGGCCCCAUUUCAUGAUUCUGUUUUGCUCAGUUUGAGGUGAGAUUGUUCUUAUGCUGUUUUCACAUUUUGUCUUCUACGUUUAUUAUUUUCCUACUCCUUUUGCAUCAAGAAAUUAUAUCGCAUGUCUUACUGAGAUGCUCUGUUAGUUGCUUAAAUGAGUGCUUUUCUAAUCUGCAGGUCAUUAACACUUUCUGUCUGCAGCAUGCCAUGUGUCAGUAGUUCAGAGUGUCCUGCAUUAAUUUGUCAUGUGCUUUUCCCAUUUCCAAAUUUGCUGAAUUGUGUAUUGUUGGAAUUCCAGACCUUUUCAAGGAAUUGGAAAUGCAGCCAACAGAGCCUGUGUAGGUUGCCAUGUAGAGUAACUAACUUUUGCUUGGUCAUAGCUGCCUCAGACGGCUUUCACUUUUCUACUUUCCUAGUAGACAUAAAAGUUAUUUUGUUCUGAAAGUGUAAGAUAGCUUACUGUAGAAAAGAAAUUCCUACCUCUAAAAGCUGCCUUGAGAACUGGGAAGUGGCAGUUUUCUGGGGUGAUUUUUAAAUCUCAGUAUUAGGAGAGUCCAGGAUUUAUUGACACAGGUCCUACAGUCAGCAUGAUAGGAAAUGCAAAUCUAUUUUAAUGCAGUGUGUCUUGUGUGUAGAAGCAGACUUGGACAAAUAGACUCUUCUGCAGCAGAUCUCCAGGGACCCAGGUUUCAAUUCUCAUAGUGUACUUUAAGUAGUUGUACUCUUGGCUCAAAUAGUUUAGUGCCUGUGAGAAUCCAUUUUCGAAAAGCAUUUAAACAUUUUUUCAAAAUACCUCUGAAAAGGUAAUGAAUGCAAAAUAGCACAGUAUAUAUAGCAAAGGGUAUUCCCUAUUGCAAAAAAAAAAAGCCAUAAAAUGAACUGAUACUUUUUGAGAGGUAGACUUUUACUAGCAAUAACAGUUUUGGCAUGGUGUAGUAAGUUUCAUUAGCAAGCUUGUAUAGUAGAGUUAAGUAUCACUAGAGUUUGUGAUGCUCUGUGGUUAACAGAGUUGCACAAAAGGAUGUUCUAGAUAAAGAGCAUAUAAAAGGUACUUUUAAAACUAUGAAUGUAUAUGAAUAUAUCAGUGAGAAAUAGCAACUUUGUGUAAGUUAAAAGUUAAAGACCCUAUUGGUUUCCUAGAGCAGAGGGUUAGAGCCAUUGAAUGAAAUUUUUCUAUUGCUUAACCUGGAAAUAAAUGUACUCUUACUGAUGAAGUCCCACUGAAGCCAUCAUGUGGGGAUUUUGCUUAUGAUUUUUUUUUAAGCACCAGGCUAAUAGCAUACUUUUUGCUUUGUCACCGUAUCUUUCUCCAUUAGUUUCCUGGGUGCAUUUUUAAAAAGGAACAGUUUGUUGUGUAUAUGUAUUUAAGGUUAAAAAGAACAAGAACUUGGAUAGCUAGCUGACCUAUGGUUAGUUUAGGGGAGUUAAGAUUUAAAGAUGUAAAACAAAAGGAUUGAUGGGAAUAGCCAAAGACAGUAUGUUGGUUUUUUAAACCUUGUCUAAUACAGAUGUGCUAGGCUUGUGGCCUGUGACUACUUAUUUUAAUGGGAACCCAGCAAACUAGUUUCUUGAUCUGAGCAAGCUUAGCUCACAUCAGGAUAUAAUAGUGGAAUGAGGGUGACUUCUUACUCCCUUUUACCUCAUGUCAUCUUGGCCAUUUAGCACCUUGAAGACAUCCUUGAGAAGACUCGGUCUCUGUUCCCUUGUUUUGCCAGGGGAAGAAAAAAACUAAAAGAUAAAUGGAGAAGAUCUAAGAAAAUAGUGCCUCUUGAAUAUUUAAUUCUUAUAUGGCAAAUCCAAAGGAUAGGGAGGCUAUAUUAAAUUGAUUAUAGCUCCUCUUUAAAUGUCCCACGCCAUCAGUUGAUGUUGGAGACAUUGGAAUAACCAAGCAAUAUUCAGACAUCUGCAUGAUCAUGAGGACACCAGAUGUAUUACUGUGAUGUCAACAGUUUAGUUUCAUAGAACAGUUAAAGCUUACCCUUAACAGCCACAUCAGUGGUUUCAAAUGCUAAAAUGUGCUACAAGUUUUUGUAGUUUCAAAGUAUACAGUUAAUUACUUUUCAUUGUUGUGGUCUCAUGUUUACUCUUUGUGUACCUGUGAUAUGCAAAAUAUGAAGAGACCCUUGUUCUCCAGGAGUUUACAUUAUCAUGGUGCUGCUGGUGCAAGCAAAUUACUUCUAGUUUAUUCAGAACAUUGCUUGGCUAUUAAUCAUACCAUAUUUGGAAGGAUCCCUUGACCAACCAUUUUCAAAACCAGAGGGCUAUGCUAAAUUUCAGGGCAUUGAUUUUUGCGUUUACAUUGUAUUAGCUCUGCUGUUCAUAAACUCCUUCCCCCUGGGAGCUGUGCAGGUAAUGCUCUUCAUAUGAAUUGGAGAAGAAACCAUUCUAAGAGCACCUUUACCAUCCCUACACCACUUAUGCUCCUCUAUGCUACAGCAGGCAAAAGGCCAAGAAACUUACUGCUCCAGAAGACUGUGCAUCUCUCAAUUCUUUUUUUUCCCAGAGUUUUUACAUCAUUCUCUAUCCAGAAGGACCAGGAUUUACAAUUAAAUUAAGCCUUUUAUAACUGAAUAGUGGUCCUAAUUUUAAACUUCGUGUGUGACUUUUGUACCUCUCUUCUGAAGCAUUGUGAUAGAUGUGGAGCACCUGCCUGCAUUUCUAAGCAAUUACUUUAUUAACCCCCAUUUUUUUAUUGAAACUUUGCAUGUAUCCUUUGUUUUUAAUUCCUCUGAAUCAAGGGGUUUACUUUGCAUGUUUAUUAUUAAAAGUGGGUCUGGAUGAAAGUGCAAGAAAUAGUAACAGGCCUAUAACUCUGAUUUUAGAGUACUGAUAUUCUAAUGCAUGAUUGAUUCAAAAUGUCCAGUAUUACGUGGCUACUAGUAAUUUAUAUAUAUAUAUAUAUGCAUCUAAUAAUGAAGCAAUAGACUUAAACCAGUAGCUUGAAUUUAUUGUUUGGAUCAUUAGAUUUCAUUUUCUAAUUAAAGAUGAUCUUAACUUCCAUUGAAAAUGGGAACUAGAUGAUAAACAGGAGCAACUGUAAGACAUUCAGUCAGGAAUAGAGCAUAACAGUGCUCAUCACCCUCUAACCUCUUGCCUGUUUCCAUUAGUCCCCAAGCAUGUUUAAAAACAAUAUAAAAGGCACAAACUAAGCAUGUGGAAUAAAUAAAUAUAGCUAUGGCUAUAGUAAUCAGAAAGGUGCAGAGUUUCAGAAAGGGUAGGAAAGUAGGGACUAUAAGUGUGAAGUAUGUAAAAUAGAUAGGGGUUUGUCUGAUAAAGUUUAUGUGGCUCAAAUUUGCAUCUCAUAACUAGGAUCUUGGAAGUGAAUAGAGGCAAUGUGCACAUAUUUCAUGUUUCACGAUUUUCAGAUAACUAGGCUACUUUCUGGAUGGUACUGGUAUGGUAUCCGAGAAGGGUCCCAGCAGCAAAAGAAACUGCUCCAUUUUGUGGAAAUAGUCCUGAGAACAUUAACAUACCCGUGGGUUAGUUUUUCUUUUGUUAUUGUAUUACAUUAACACUUUUUUUUUUAAUAGCCAGAGUUUUAUUCUUGAUACUUUGGUCAAAUGACAUAAUUUCUUGCCUAAAGCUUUUGAUACCAGCUAAACAGGAGCAAGUUUUCAAAUUUGUUUAUUGUGGUAGCUUAAAAUUUUUUAGAUGAUUCCUAACUUUGGAAUGAUCUUUGUAAAUUAUUAUGGUACAUAAUGUAAAUGGAUUACUUAUAUCUGAAAGAGGCCUAAACAGGAUUAGACUAGACACUUUGCUGUGGGAUUUCACUCCAAAUACCUUUGGGGAUGUGUAAGUUUAACAUCACUGCAGUGUCUGGUCUCCACUCAAAUACAGGAAGUAAGAUGUCAUAUCCCUUGUGUAAAUCUUUGCCAUGUAUUAGUAACAUGCCUGUCAACCAGUGAAACCAAUGAAGAUUUAAGGACUGAGUUUCUCUAAACUCUCCCAUUAUUCCACUAAGGCAUAUUAAAAGUUACUGGGAAAACAGACAUCACAGAUUUCUCCACAAGUCCAUAUACUUAAGCUUCCUUUUAAUUCAAAAUAGAUAUUUUAGGGUUACUAACAAUCUUCAGAAGAUUUUGUGUCCUGUUGUGAUGGUUUGCCAUGCCACUGAUUGAAAUAUAUUUUUCUCCCAGGGAUAAUAAAGAUAUUCUGGCAAUACAUUAUCAUCAGUCCUUAAACAACAGUAAUCAUUUUAGGGCUUACCCUAAAAUUACUCAUCACUUGUAAUUUGAAAGAUUCCCAUUCAAGUACCCUUCACAUAGAUUUUUAUGUACUGUCUUAUUGAGUAUAGUUGUCACUGUUUUCACUUGCUGAUGCAUCUUCUCCCUUGCACCAUUGGUAUAGACGAUAAUGUUAAAAGAAUUUCAUUGAAUGUUAAAGUAUUACAAAAGGCAGCUUGCUUUUUUAAUCUAUGCAUCUUUGGGAUUUUAGAAAAGAUUUUAUUCUUUGAUGUAAAAAGGAACUGCUUUAAGAGUUGGAAACUCUGCACCUGUGUAUAUGUAUAUUUUGGCAAUAAAGCAGCAUGGGCUGAGAAUGCACUGAAA
Molecule: long non-coding RNA, 7667 nt
Organism: Phyllostomus hastatus (greater spear-nosed bat)
Lineage: Eukaryota; Metazoa; Chordata; Mammalia; Chiroptera; Phyllostomidae
Exons: 3
Source: RefSeq, a predicted model, not a curated record